Molecule: transfer RNA, 74 nt
Filed under: Cavia porcellus (domestic guinea pig)
Lineage: Eukaryota; Metazoa; Chordata; Mammalia; Rodentia; Caviidae
Rfam family: tRNA
About the family: Transfer RNA (tRNA) molecules are approximately 80 nucleotides in length.
Source: Rfam by way of RNAcentral
GGGGGUGUGGUUCAGUGGUAGAGUUCUUGCCUUGCAAGCACACAAGGCCCUCGGUUUGAUCCCCAGCACCACCA